UCUGCUGCCAGACAGACUAGAAUGACCAGAAAUGGGGGAGAAAUGAAAAAGACAAUACAAAAAAAAGAGAGAGUGAUAGGAAUGAAAUUGUUAGGUGCCAAGAAUUCAGGAAGGCUGCAUUCCAACAGCUGCUAUGCUUACUGCCGCUGGUUAGAAGGAAAAUAAAAUCAGCUGAGUAAUGAAACGGACAUACGCUGUGGAUACCCAAGUCUGGAUAAAGGGAGUGCGCCGAAGAGGAAGGUGCCAGAGGCUUCAGCAGACAAAGCAACCGCUGCAGCUGCACACAGAUGGCUGCGUGCUGAAAUAUUUUGGAGCCGGUGGUUUCAUCAUAAAGACAAAUUCUAAGGUAAACUGGGUGGCCCUGCCUAAAAAGGGAAUUCACUAGAGAAUACAGAGUAUAGUUCAUGUCUCAUUCUAUCUGCGGCCAUAAAGAAAUUUACAGCCUACACUUCAGGUCAGUAUUGCUGAAUGAGCUGUAUUACUAGGCAAUGCAUACAUACAGGGGGCGGUGGUAUUAGGGUAUUAUAAUAACUAAAAGGAACAUGAAAUACUUUGAGAUUGUAAUAAAAAAUGAUGAAAUUUUGUGCAAUAAAACUAACCACUUUAAUUGUU
Molecule: long non-coding RNA, 612 nt
Organism: Bombina bombina (fire-bellied toad)
Lineage: Eukaryota; Metazoa; Chordata; Amphibia; Anura; Bombinatoridae
Exons: 2
Source: RefSeq, a predicted model, not a curated record